GUACAAAGAGGACACCGGUAAAAAAUGUUAAUUCAUCAGGCUCCUAUGCAGAUGUUGGGCAAUACGUUGAAGGGAUAUUGCAGAAAACAUCACAAUUAUUGUUUUCAGAGGUCAAGGAAGAAAAUAUAAAGUUACACGGGGAGCAACUGGGUACUGUGGUAUCUGAAAAAUUACA
This is a non-coding RNA of Cajanus cajan (pigeon pea), 175 nucleotides long. The record is from RefSeq and is a predicted model, not a curated record. Lineage: Eukaryota; Viridiplantae; Streptophyta; Magnoliopsida; Fabales; Fabaceae.